AGAGGUCAAUUAGCUGCUUUCGGGCGGCCUUAGGCGACAGGAGACUCCUGGACCCAGCACCUGCCCACUGUGCCUGUCCACCUGUGGCUACAGCAGCUGAGACCCCAGUGGGCUAAGAUUGGACAGGGGCCACCAGGGACCCAGCAAGUCCUUCAGCUCUAUUUUUGAAACAUGAAUCCUUCACUCCUCCUGGCUGCCUUUUUCCUGGGAAUUGCCUCAGCUGCUCUAACACGUGACCACAGUUUAGACGCACAAUGGACCAAGUGGAAGGCAAAGCACAAGAGAUUAUAUGGCAUGAAUGAAGAAGGAUGGAGGAGAGCAGUGUGAGAGAACAUGAAGAUGACUGAGCAGCACAAUCAGGAAUACAGCCAAGGGAAACACAGCUUCACAAUGGCCAUGAACGCCUUUGGAGACAUGACCACUGAAGAAUUCAGGCAGGUGAUGAAUGGUUUUCAAUACCAGAAGCACAGGAAGGGGAAACAGUUCCAGGAACGCCUGCUUCUUGAGAUCCCCACAUCUGUGGACUGGAGAGAGAAAGGCUACGUGACUCCUGUGAAGGAUCAGGUGAGACUGUGUUAGGUUCAGACCUCCCAUCACCCCAGGAAAGCCAAGAAGCAAUUGACAUUUGUGCUAUGGUAGACUGUGCAGCAACAUGCAGUUCACUUUUUUUUUUGUAUAAUUUUUUUGUUUGUUUGUUUUGAGACAGAGCCUCACUCUGUUGCUCAAGGUUGAGUGCAGCGGCGUGAUCUCUCCUCACUGAAACCUCUGUCUCCCAGAUUCAAGAGAUUAUCCUGGCUCAGCCUCCCAAGUAGCUGGGGUUACAGGUGCCUGCCUCCCCUUCCAGCUAAUUUUUUGUAUUUUUAGUAGAGAUGGGGUUUUGCCAUGUUGGUCAGGCUGGUCUUGAGCUCCUGACCACAGGUCAUCCACCUGCGUCGGCCUCCUAAAAUGCUGGGAUUACAGGCAUGAGCCACCAAGCCUGGCCUGUUUUUUUUUGUUUGUUUUGUUUUUGUUUUUUUUUUUUGUUUUGUUUUUUGAGACAGGUCCUGCUCUGUCCUGCAGGCUGGAGUGUAGUGGUAUGAUCUCGGGUCACUGCAGCCUCUGCCU
Long non-coding RNA from Homo sapiens (human), 1104 nucleotides. Ensembl annotates it as cathepsin L pseudogene 2. Its record names the gene CTSLP2. NCBI's taxonomy places the organism in Eukaryota, Metazoa, Chordata, Mammalia, Primates, Hominidae. The record is from Ensembl.